This 22-nucleotide microRNA is filed under the name Eptesicus fuscus (big brown bat). Its description in RNAcentral is "efu-miR-9225". The record is from miRBase by way of RNAcentral. Lineage: Eukaryota; Metazoa; Chordata; Mammalia; Chiroptera; Vespertilionidae.
AGGACAAAGACUUGGCUGCCGA